AUACGUAGGGGGCGAGCGUUGUCCGGAAUGAUUGGGCGUAAAGGGCGCGUAGGCGGCCCGGUAAGUCUGGAGUGAAAGUCCUGUUUUUAAGAUGGGAAUUGCUUUGGAUACUGUCGGGCUUGAGUGCAGGAGAGGUAAGUGGAAUUCCCAGUGUAGCGGGGAAAUGCGUAGAGAUUGGGAGGAACACCAGUGGCGAAGGCGACUUACUGGACUGUAACUGACGCUGAGGCGCGAAAGUGUGGGGAGCAAACAGGAUUAGAUACCCUGGUAGUCCACACUGUAAACGAUGAAUGCUAGGUGUAGGGGGUAUCGACCCCUUCUGUGCCGCAGUCAACACAAUAAGCAUUCCGCCUGGGGAGUACGGCCGCAAGGUUGAAACUUAAAGGAAUUGACGGGG
RNAcentral lists this ribosomal RNA (397 nucleotides) under uncultured bacterium. Its description in RNAcentral is "partial 16S ribosomal RNA". It matches the Rfam family "Bacterial small subunit ribosomal RNA", at positions 523 to 918 of the family's 1533-position model. The record is from RNAcentral.